GCCUUCGUAGUGUAGUGGUCAGCACGCUCGACGCGUAUUCGAGAGGUCCGUGGUUCGAGUCCCGCCGAGAGCA
RNAcentral lists this transfer RNA (73 nucleotides) under Stegodyphus mimosarum. It matches the Rfam family "tRNA". Rfam says of the family: Transfer RNA (tRNA) molecules are approximately 80 nucleotides in length. Their secondary structure includes four short double-helical elements and three loops (D, anti-codon, and T loops). The record is from Rfam by way of RNAcentral. Lineage: Eukaryota; Metazoa; Arthropoda; Arachnida; Araneae; Eresidae.